RNAcentral lists this ribosomal RNA (425 nucleotides) under uncultured bacterium. RNAcentral's name for it is "partial 16S ribosomal RNA". It matches the Rfam family "Bacterial small subunit ribosomal RNA", at positions 354 to 796 of the family's 1533-position model. The record is from RNAcentral.
GUGGGGAAUCUUGCGCAAUGGGCGAAAGCCUGACGCAGCCAUGCCGCGUGAAUGAUGAAGGUCUUGGGAUUGUAAAAUUCUUUCACCGGGGACGAUAAUGACGGUACCCGGAGAAGAAGCCCCGGCUAACUUCGUGCCAGCAGCCGCGGUAAUACGAAGGGGGCUAGCGUUGCUCGGAAUUACUGGGCGUAAAGGGCGCGUAGGCGGACAGCUUAGUCAGAGGUGAAAGCACAGGGCUCAACCUUGGAAUUGCCUUUGAUACUGGCUGUCUUGAGUUUGGGAGAGGUGAGUGGAACUCCGAGUGUAGAGGUGAAAUUCGUAGAUAUUCGGAAGAACACCAGUGGCGAAGGCGACUCACUGGCCCAAUACUGACGCUGAGGCGCGAAAGCGUGGGGAGCAAACAGGAUUAGAUACCCUAGUAGUCC